UCGUAGCCCCGGGUGCAGCGUUAUCCUUUUUCUUUUGCAAAAAGAAAAAGAUAUAGCGGAACACGGGUCUGAUU
This 74-nucleotide small RNA is filed under the name Kaistella antarctica. RNAcentral's name for it is "Chryseobacterium antarcticum Flavo-1 RNA". It matches the Rfam family "Flavo-1 RNA". Lineage: Bacteria; Pseudomonadati; Bacteroidota; Flavobacteriia; Flavobacteriales; Weeksellaceae. The record is from RNAcentral.